UGGUGAUGUCUCCUCCCCUUUAUCGAUGGAGGCACUCGGUCAUGCUGUGGGUCUAAGACCUUAGACGCAAGUCGUCGGUAGUGUGGUGUGAGGACGGGUUGGAUGCCCA
Molecule: regulatory RNA element, 109 nt
Rfam family: epsC RNA
Source: Rfam